UGGGGAAUUUUGGACAAUGGGCGAAAGCCUGAUCCAGCAAUGCCGCGUGUGUGAAGAAGGCCUUCGGGUUGUAAAGCACUUUUGUCCGGAAAGAAAUCCUUGGCUCUAAUACAGUCGGGGGAUGACGGUACCGGAAGAAUAAGCACCGGCUAACUACGUGCCAGCAGCCGCGGUAAUACGUAGGGUGCAAGCGUUAAUCGGAAUUACUGGGCGUAAAGCGUGCGCAGGCGGUUUGCUAAGACCGAUGUGAAAUCCCCGGGCUCAACCUGGGAACUGCAUUGGUGACUGGCAGGCUAGAGUAUGGCAGAGGGGGGUAGAAUUCCACGUGUAGCAGUGAAAUGCGUAGAGAUGUGGAGGAAUACCGAUGGCGAAGGCAGCCCCCUGGGCAAAUACUGACGCUCAUGCACGAAAGCGUGGGGAGCAAACAGGAUUAGAUACCCUGGUAGUCCACGCCCUAAACGAUGUCAACUAGUUGUUGGGGAUUCAUUUCCUUAGUAACGUAGCUAACGCGUGAAGUUGACCGCCUGGGGAGUACGGUCGCAAGAUUAAAACUCAAAUGAAUUGACGGGGUCAUAGCUGUUUCCU
This 585-nucleotide ribosomal RNA is filed under the name uncultured bacterium. RNAcentral's name for it is "partial 16S ribosomal RNA". It matches the Rfam family "Bacterial small subunit ribosomal RNA", at positions 355 to 1375 of the family's 1533-position model. The record is from RNAcentral.